UGUCCGCCAGGGUACUACAAGCGUAAGCUUAAAACCCAAAGGACUUGGCGGUGCUUUAGACCCACCUAGAGGAGCCUGUCCUAUAACCGAUAACCCCCGAUAAACCUCACCCUCACUUGUUCUCUCAGCUUAUAUACCGCCGUCGCCAGCCUACCCUGUGAAGGCCUAAAUAGUCAGCCAAAAUAACAUAUUUCAAAACGUCAGGUGAGGUGUAGCUUAUGUGAGGGGAUUAGAUGGGCUACAUUCUCUGCAAUCAGAAUAUACGAAAAAUGUACUGAAAAUUACAUUAGAAGGAGGAUUUAGCAGUAAGUGAAAAGUAUGAGUGUUUCACUGAAACCGGCUCUAAAGCGCGCACACACCGCCCGU
Molecule: ribosomal RNA, 366 nt
Filed under: Lepadichthys trishula
Lineage: Eukaryota; Metazoa; Chordata; Actinopteri; Blenniiformes; Gobiesocidae
Description: partial small subunit ribosomal RNA
Rfam family: Bacterial small subunit ribosomal RNA
Source: RNAcentral